Molecule: transfer RNA, 77 nt
Filed under: Clostridia bacterium
Lineage: Bacteria; Bacillati; Bacillota; Clostridia
Description: tRNA-Glu
Rfam family: tRNA
About the family: Transfer RNA (tRNA) molecules are approximately 80 nucleotides in length.
Source: RNAcentral
GCUCGGUUCUUCUAAAAGGCACAGGAAGUAACCCUCUCAAGGUUAAAAUAUGGGUUCGAUUCCCGUACCGAGUACCA